This 1203-nucleotide long non-coding RNA is filed under the name Mytilus galloprovincialis (Mediterranean mussel). The record is from RNAcentral. Lineage: Eukaryota; Metazoa; Mollusca; Bivalvia; Mytilida; Mytilidae.
AAAAACAAAUUCCAAAUAGUUACAAAAUUUGAGAGGAUUGGUGACUUAAAAACUAUAGAAAGGUUCAUUUAUCCUUCAUCGAAUUUAAAACAUAUGUUUUCAAAUGGUCUCUUAAUCAAUAGUACUGCUUCUGAUGCGUGCGUAAAAUGCAUACUGUAUUGUAAUCGGAAACAAUUUGAAUUUUCAUUCGGAAUAAGAAUAAGAAUUUAUAUGAUUCUUAUCGUGUUUGGUCGAAAUUGUAUUUUUAAAUAUGAAAACUCUGAAAAAAUAUGAUUAAUAGAAAUCAAGAUGUCACAUCAAUUAAAAAAAGGUAAAAUCACAAAAAUACUGAACUUUGAGGAAAAUUCAUACUGUAUUGUAAUCGGAAACAAUUUGAAAUGUUUUCAUUCGGAAUAAGAAUAAGAAUUUAUAUGAUUCUUAUCGUGUUUUGUCGAAAUUGAAUUUUUAAAUAUGAAAACUCUGAAAAAAUAUGAUUAAUAGAAAUCAAGAUGUCACAUCAAUUAAAAAAAGGUAAAAUCACAAAAAUACUGAACUCUGAGGAAAAUUCAAAACGGAAAGUCCCUAAUCAAAUGGCAAAAUCAAAUAAUAAAACACAUUAAACGAAUGGACAAAAACUGUCAUAUUCCUGACUUGGUACAGGCAUUUUUAGAUGUAGAAAAGGGUGAAUUGAACCAAAUGUCAAAGCUCAUUCAAAGACAAAUGCUUCAAGUUUAGCUGGAGCUGAUCACAUUCUUUCAUUCAUUUAUAUUUGUUUGUUGCUUAACGUGUUGCUUUAAUUUUGAACGUUUUUUUUCUCUCGAGUAAUUGCAAUUUGAAAACAGAUCACAUCCGGGGAAGGAAUUCACGCUUUGCAUAACGAAGAUAUAGUAUUGAUCAUUUCAAAUAAUUCACAAAUUGUAAAAACAGCAAUUUUCAGUUAAACUGUAUCCCUGUUGUCUUGCUUAAACCGAAAUGCUGCUGUUGUUCCUGACUGGUGAUAACCUCUGAUACUAACAUUCCCAUUCGGCAAUCCUCCGUAGAAUCCGCUACUUUCCUUCUGUCCGUUCGAUGAGGGUACGGAAUCGGCCGAGUUGAGACGAAUAUAACAUUCCAUCAGCAGAAGUAGCCAUUAAGUGGUAGUACAAUUCACGGUACCAAUGUGCAAAGUUAACACGAGGUUGUGUCUGUGUGACAAGUCAUUGUAGAAGUUAAAAAUCCAGUAAA